AUCAGUGCUAAUCUUCGAUACUCGAAGGAGAGGUUGUCCGUGUUGUCUUCUCUUUAUUUAUGAUGAAACAUACACGGGAAACCUCUUUUUUAGUAUCAAAUC
MicroRNA precursor from Piliocolobus tephrosceles (Ugandan red Colobus), 102 nucleotides. The record is from Ensembl. Lineage: Eukaryota; Metazoa; Chordata; Mammalia; Primates; Cercopithecidae.